Molecule: ribosomal RNA, 482 nt
Filed under: uncultured bacterium
Lineage: Bacteria
Description: partial 16S ribosomal RNA
Rfam family: Bacterial small subunit ribosomal RNA
Source: RNAcentral
AUUGAACGCUGGCGGCAUGCUUUACACAUGCAAGUCGAACGGUAACAGGCCGCAAGGUGCUGACGAGUGGCGAACGGGUGAGUAAUGCAUCGGAACGUGCCCAGUCGUGGGGGAUAACUACUCGAAAGAGUAGCUAAUACUGCAUGCGAUCUAUGGAUGAAAGCGGGGGACCGUAAGGCCUCGCGCGAUUGGAGCGGCCGAUGUCAGAUUAGGUAGUUGGUGGGGUAAAGGCUCACCAAGCCAACGAUCUGUAGCUGGUCUGAGAGGACGACCAGCCACACUGGGACUGAGACACGGCCCAGACUCCUACGGGAGGCAGCAGUGGGGAAUUUUGGACAAUGGGCGCAAGCCUGAUCCAGCAAUGCCGCGUGCAGGAAGAAGGCCUUCGGGUUGUAAACUGCUUUUGUACGGAACGAAACGGCUCUGGUUAAUACCCGGGGCUAAUGACGGUACCGUAAGAAUAAGCACCGGCUAACUACGUG